RNAcentral lists this ribosomal RNA (386 nucleotides) under uncultured bacterium. RNAcentral describes it as "bacterial SSU rRNA". It matches the Rfam family "Bacterial small subunit ribosomal RNA", at positions 29 to 416 of the family's 1533-position model. The record is from RNAcentral.
AUUGAACGCUGGCGGAAUGCUUUACACAUGCAAGUCGAACGGCAGCACGGGGCAACCUGGUGGCGAGUGGCGAACGGGUGAGUAAUACAUCGGAACGUGCCCAGUCGUGGGGGAUAACGUAGCGAAAGCUACGCUAAUACCGCAUACGAUCUACGGAUGAAAGCGGGGGACUCGCAAGAGCCUCGCGCGAUUGGAGCGGCCGAUGGCAGAUUAGGUAGUUGGUGGGGUAAAGGCUCACCAAGCCUGCGAUCUGUAGCUGGUCUGAGAGGACGACCAGCCACACUGGAACUGAGACACGGUCCAGACUCCUACGGGAGGCAGCAGUGGGGAAUUUUGGACAAUGGGCGCAAGCCUGAUCCAGCCAUGCCGCGUGAGUGAAGAAGGCC